This 206-nucleotide long non-coding RNA is filed under the name Elaeis guineensis (African oil palm). RNAcentral's name for it is "long non-coding RNA (EGUI_LNC012495)". The record is from RNAcentral. Lineage: Eukaryota; Viridiplantae; Streptophyta; Magnoliopsida; Arecales; Arecaceae.
GCGGGGAGAGGUGGCUAGCCACCCGUCUGAGAGGAGCUCGGAGUCCGGCUCCCGUAGGAGUCUGGAUGAAGUCUUCUUGCAGCCGGAGUUGGGGACGAGAUCCGGUUCCCGUAGGAGUCCGGAUAGAGUCUUCCUGCAAUUUAAGUCAGGGACAAAGUCCGGCUCUCGUAGGAGUCCGGACAGAGUUUACCUGUAAGUGAAGUCAU